CUUAGUGUUCAGUUUAUGUUUUAUAAUAAACGAUAUGGACACUUACCACGCUGUGUUUUGGUCCGAUCCCUGCUAGGAAAUCUGCCGUUACAUGAUCACCUUCACCUGAGAGAAACAUUGGGAGUGUUCUGUUUCCAUUUGUUUUGAGUCAAAUCUCACCUGAUUGGGUCUGCUGGAUGAUUAGGACUUCUCCCUAAGGAUUAGCCCUCUAACUUCCCGACUCUGCGAUGAGGUCGACAGUGUGAUAGGGAAGUUAUGGGGAAAGUGACCACAGAUGGUGUCUAGAUACAUGACGGAUAAUUUGACCAAGAACUGAACCUCAACCCCCCCCUAACUGGCUAAAGCAAUGGCGACAAUGGCGUUGAGUAUGGUCCUGCACCACUUCUACCGUGAGACCUGAGUCCGAGCCAGCAACCUGUACACAGCAUCGUCGACGCGAUCAACUGCCUUUUCUCUCAUGCCUUUUUUUCUCUGGAGUGAGCAUGGAGAGAGAUCCUGUCAACUACUUUCAUGCUGCUGUUGUACUGGUAGGGAAAUGGACAAGACAUAAUGGACUGUAAAGGACAAUGGAGGCUCAGGUGAGAGGCAUAAUCAACGGCCAUCCACUUUGAACAUGUGCCAUUGGAAGGACGAACUAAAACACAAUCUGAAGAACAUGAAGACACUCCAGAUGGAGGAGUGCCAGGAGGAGGAG
This is a long non-coding RNA of Oncorhynchus tshawytscha (Chinook salmon), 694 nucleotides long. The record is from Ensembl. Lineage: Eukaryota; Metazoa; Chordata; Actinopteri; Salmoniformes; Salmonidae.